Molecule: long non-coding RNA, 3888 nt
Filed under: Homo sapiens (human)
Lineage: Eukaryota; Metazoa; Chordata; Mammalia; Primates; Hominidae
Description: HSALNT0135720
Source: RNAcentral
GGAGGAGAACUGCUUGAACCCAGUAGGUGGAGGUUGUAGUGAGCCGAGAUUGCGUCACUGUACUCCAACCUGGGUGACAAGAGUGAAACUCUGUCUCAAAAAAAAAAAAAAGAACUGAGUAAACCAGCCAGGUGCAGGGGCUCAUGCCUGUAAUCCCAGCACUUUGGGAGGCGGAGGUGGGCAGAUUGCUUGAGCCCAGGAGUUUGAGACCAGCCUAGGUAACAUGGCAAGACCCCAUUUCUGCAAAAAAUACAAAAACUAGCUGGGUGCGGUGGCACGUGCCUCUAGUUCCAGCUACUUGGGAGGCUGUGGUAGAAGGAUCACUUGAGCCCAGGAGGUGAAGGUUGCAGUUAGCCAAGAUUGCACCACUGUACUCCAGCCUGGGGAACAGAGUGAGACUGUCUCAAAUAAUAAUAAUAAUAACAACAAUAAUAAUGAUAAUAAUAAACCUUAGUUAACCCAAGACAUCCAAAAUAUUAUCAUCUCAACAUGUAGUUAAUAUAAAAAGUUGAGACAUUUAUGCUUCUUCUUUUUCUGAGUAGCUACAGUUCAAGUGCUCCACAGCUACCUGCGGCUAGGGUUACAAUGCAGAGACUAUGUGUUCCUCAAGUGAAGAAACUAUCUCAUUUACAUUUUAUCCUCAUCACCUAACACUGACCAGAAUUUAACAAAUUCACAUGGGCUUCAAAACAAAUACUGAAAGAAACCUGAGUCCACCCGGCCCUCCACAUUCAGGAACUUACAAGCACAGUGGACCCGUCUUCUUCCAUCUUCUGGCACGUCUCCUUCUCUAUGCCUAAGACAGAAAGUCAUUUUUAUAGUUAUCCCAAGAAGUCGGUUCCUUUCCUCCCUAGUGAAAGGCUCUUGGAAACCCCAGUGCAGGCGAGAAUGACUUAUGAACACAUGAAAAGCAUUUUAAGAUUUUAUUUAAAAGGAGCGCUGGCAUUUUGUUGAGUGCUGUUAUAAGUCCAUGACAUUCAGAAGAGGAGCACAUGGUUAGUCAGCCACAAACAGGUCGUCAGCCUUCAGGCUGAAAGAACAGCAAGGCUGCCCCCUUGUGUCCAUUAAAAGUUUGGAAAAAUGUGUCGUACUAACUGUGGCAUUAUUUCAGAAAGGGGACACUGUGUAACACUGAAUGCUUUUUUUUAAUCAUCAAGUCGGAGUGAAUUUAAAUUCCAGCCCAGAAGGGUGGCCUUGAUCUAAUUAAUGCAGCAGAUAAGAUAAUAAGCUUUAAAAUUCAAGGCAGCGAAACUAAACUCAUUCUCCCCUCCACCCCUUCAAAUGGGCUUCCUUGUCUCAGGUCUAUCCUCUACUCUACUAGGGUAGAGGAUGACAUUUAAAAUAACCAGAAGAUGGCUGGGCACAGUGGCUCAUGCCUGUAAUCCCAGCACUUUGGGAGGCCAAGGUGGGUGGAUCAUCUGAGGUCAGGAGACCAGCCUAGCCAACAUGGCGAAGCCUCAUCUACUAAAAAUACAAAAAUUAGCUGGGCGUGGUGGCGCAUGCCUAUAAUCUCAGCUACUUGGGAGGCUGAAGCAGGAGAAUCGCUUGAACCCGGGAGCUGGAGGUUGCAGUGAGUUGAGAUAGCGCCACCACACUCCAGCCUGGGCAACAAGAGCGAAACUCAGUCUCAAAAAUAAGAAAAAUAAAAAAUAAAAUAACCAGAAGAUGCACUCAUUAAAGUAAACAUAAAAAUACAGAAAAGCAUACAAAAGUUUAAAGUUACAAUCCUCCACAUGGCAAUCACUAACUACUAUUGUUGUCAAUAGCUAAUUAUUUAAAACACAAAUGUGACCAUCACUCCCUUAUUCAAAAACCUUCAACCUCCCCCUCCCUACCUAUAGGAUCAAGCCCAGAUUCCACGGUAUGACCUUGUUUCCCACUUGGCCAGAUACUUACAGAAAGCAACCAGGCCUUUUACCAACGUGGCAGCUUUCUUCCCAUGGCUGUGUGAAAAUCUCAUUUCCUGGAGAACAUCUAGUAAGUAUCCAUCAGGACCCAGCUUCAAGGGGACACUCACCAGGACACAGUCAGGAUUCACCUAACAGGGCCUGUAGCCAUUCCCACACCCAGGACCGCAGCCUCCACUUGCUUGUGAUGCGGCUGAUCAGUUACAAUGUAACCACUUGUUUAAAUAUGUUCCCCUUGCUGUUUGCUAACUUUGAAGACAGCACUGUAUGUACAGGGCCCCAGCUCUCUACAUAAAUUUUUAUUGAAGGAAUUUCCUCUAGUGAGGAAGAAUAUAAUUCAAUAAAUGUUUACCAUGUACUGUGUCAAAGGUGACUCAAAGAUGAGUGGUAGUCUCUAACCUCAGUAAGUUUAUAAUAUUACCUUCCUGUAAUUAACACACUGCGCUAGGUACUGUGGAACAGGAAGGGGGAAAGGAAAUGUGGGAGCAAAAGCAUGCUGGAGAGACCUGAAGGGAUGUGCAGAUCUGUGUAAGAGGCAGCAAAGGAAGACACUUCAGAUGGAAAAAAACCAAGGCAGGUGUUAAGAAUACUCAGGAUUAACCCCAAGAAACUGGGGGAAUGGUGAACAAUAUCUUUGGGAAAGAUGUCAGGGCAGAAGACAGUAUUGGAAGAAAUCAGGAACAAUGCCUGGCAUAUUAUUUUAUAGAUGAGAGACUGAGGCCUGGGAUGAGAAGGAGGCCAGGGGGAAUAAAUUGCUCCAAGUCCUGACUUUCCAUCUGCUUCCCUGGCUUAAUGGCAGAUCAUGACUUUUAAAAUUCUAUACAUAAAAGCCCAUGAAUAAAAUUAUGUUAAGAAGAUCUGAGUUUUUAAUAAUGUUUAAUGUAGUCAGGAACAUGGUUCUAAACUUUUCAUAAGUAAAGUUUAAGGCCAAGGAUGUAACUGGGGUCCCAAGAAAGAGGGGCUUAGCUCUAGAAUGAUCUGAUGAGUCCAUCAAUAAGAGGCUUCCACCCUGGUUAGCCCAGGUUCCUCAUUGGCAUGUUAAGAAAGAUUUUACAGUGCACUGGUCAAUCUCAACUUACCACAUCUGUACCAGGAAAAUUUACAGUAGCCUAGUAUCAUGAAAAUAAUCUCUUCAUACUUUGGCAUUGUGGCGAAAAGACCAUGGAACCAGACUGCUUAGAGUCAAAUGUAGUUCUACCAUUUACUAAUGAUGAGGUUCAGAACACACUUCACCAAAAUAUGGUGCCUUCGCAUUUGAGGACACAGCAGAAGCAGGGAGGUCUCUCGGCCCCUCUCCUGCCCCCUUUCCUGAAGCAGGCCAUAAAGCAACCCCUCAGACCUUCCCCUGAAAAUAGUUCAUAAGACCUCAUUACAAGAGGGGUCCUCCCUGUACACAGAGAAAAACAAUGUCCUUAUCCUGAAAGACACAGACACCAAGAGGAAUUGGAACAAACAGGACUUGCUAAGUUCCCCUGGUUUAUUACCACAGAUCACACCCUUCUGUCCUCCAAUUAUACUUCUGCACAACUAUCUAUAAAAGUACAGUUUUCCCUGUUCCUUUGGGUCUUCAUUUCUGGAGGCUCUAAUGUCAUGUAAAACUUAUAUUAAAUAUAUUUGUACACUUUUCUCUUGUUGAUCUUUUGUUAGAGAUGUCUCAGCCAUGAACCUUGUGGUGAGGAAAAAGAUACCACUUUUCUGUCCUACCCUAGCCAAGUGACUUUAAUCAAGUCACUUAACUUCUUUGACUUACUUUGUUUCUCUGAAGAAGUGAGAAAAGGGUAACACCUUGCUAUGAAUGAGUAUAUGCAAAGCACUUAAAACAAUGCCUGUACAUGGUAAGGCACCAUACAUGUCAGUUGUUAUUUCUCUAAGUUAAACAAUGAGUAUAACAAUCACAAAAAAGUCAAACAUAUGACAUAUUUAUAGGCCAUUUGAUAUAGUUUAAAUAUUUGCCCCCUAAAUCUCAUGUUGAAACCUGAUC